UGUGGGGGCUCAGUGGUACGGCACUUGCCUAGCAUGCAUGAGGUCCUGGGUUCAAUCCCCAGUACCACAA
Molecule: transfer RNA, 70 nt
Filed under: Cavia porcellus (domestic guinea pig)
Lineage: Eukaryota; Metazoa; Chordata; Mammalia; Rodentia; Caviidae
Rfam family: tRNA
About the family: Transfer RNA (tRNA) molecules are approximately 80 nucleotides in length.
Source: Rfam by way of RNAcentral